This 1371-nucleotide ribosomal RNA is filed under the name uncultured bacterium. RNAcentral's name for it is "bacterial SSU rRNA". It matches the Rfam family "Bacterial small subunit ribosomal RNA", at positions 28 to 1381 of the family's 1533-position model. The record is from RNAcentral.
GAUGAACGCUGGCGGCGUGCCUAAUACAUGCAAGUCGAGCGAACGGACGAGAAGCUUGCUUCUCUGAUGUUAGCGGCGGACGGGUGAGUAACACGUGGAUAACCUACCUAUAAGACUGGGAUAACUUCGGGAAACCGGAGCUAAUACCGGAUAAUAUUUUGAACCGCAUGGUUCAAAAGUGAAAGACGGUCUUGCUGUCACUUAUAGAUGGAUCCGCGCUGCAUUAGCUAGUUGGUAAGGUAACGGCUUACCAAGGCAACGAUGCAUAGCCGACCUGAGAGGGUGAUCGGCCACACUGGAACUGAGACACGGUCCAGACUCCUACGGGAGGCAGCAGUAGGGAAUCUUCCGCAAUGGGCGAAAGCCUGACGGAGCAACGCCGCGUGAGUGAUGAAGGUCUUCGGAUCGUAAAACUCUGUUAUUAGGGAAGAACAUAUGUGUAAGUAACUGUGCACAUCUUGACGGUACCUAAUCAGAAAGCCACGGCUAACUACGUGCCAGCAGCCGCGGUAAUACGUAGGUGGCAAGCGUUAUCCGGAAUUAUUGGGCGUAAAGCGCGCGUAGCGGUUUUUUAAGUCUGAUGUGAAAGCCCACGGCUCAACCGUGGAGGGUCAUUGGAAACUGGAAAACUUGAGUGCAGAAGAGGAAAGUGGAAUUCCAUGUGUAGCGGUGAAAUGCGCAGAGAUAUGGAGGAACACCAGUGGCGAAGGCGACUUUCUGGUCUGUAACUGACGCUGAUGUGCGAAAGCGUGGGGAUCAAACAGGAUUAGAUACCCUGGUAGUCCACGCCGUAAACGAUGAGUGCUAAGUGUUAGGGGGUUUCCGCCCCUUAGUGCUGCAGCUAACGCAUUAAGCACUCCGCCUGGGGAGUACGACCGCAAGGUUGAAACUCAAAGGAAUUGACGGGGACCCGCACAAGCGGUGGAGCAUGUGGUUUAAUUCGAAGCAACGCGAAGAACCUUACCAAAUCUUGACAUCCUUUGACAACUCUAGAGAUAGAGCCUUCCCCUUCGGGGGACAGAGUGACAGGUGGUGCAUGGUUGUCGUCAGCUCGUGUCGUGAGAUGUUGGGUUAAGUCCCGCAACGAGCGCAACCCUUAAGCUUAGUUGCCAUCAUUAAGUUGGGCACUCUAAGUUGACUGCCGGUGACAAACCGGAGGAAGGUGGGGAUGACGUCAAAUCAUCAUGCCCCUUAUGAUUUGGGCUACACACGUGCUACAAUGGACAAUACAAAGGGCAGCGAAACCGCGAGGUCAAGCAAAUCCCAUAAAGUUGUUCUCAGUUCGGAUUGUAGUCUGCAACUCGACUACAUGAAGCUGGAAUCGCUAGUAAUCGUAGAUCAGCAUGCUACGGUGAAUACGUUCCCGGGUCU